Molecule: ribosomal RNA, 801 nt
Filed under: uncultured bacterium
Lineage: Bacteria
Description: bacterial SSU rRNA
Rfam family: Bacterial small subunit ribosomal RNA
Source: RNAcentral
GGGACAUUAUUUGUAGCAAUACACGUAAUGUCCAGUGGCGUAAGGGUGCGUAACACGUGGGUAAUCUGCCGAGAAGUGGGGGAUAGCUCGCCGAAAGGCGAAUUAAUACCGCAUGCGGUUAGUGAGGACAUCCUCGCGAUACCAAAGCCGGGGCAACCUGGCGCUUCUUGAUGAACCCGCGGCCUAUCAGUUAGUUGGUGAGGUAACGGCUCACCAAGGCUAUGACGGGUAGCUGGUCUGAGAGGACGACCAGCCACACUGGAACUGAGACACGGUCCAGACACCUACGGGUGGCAGCAGUCGAGAAUUUUUCUCAAUGGGGGAAACCCUGAAGGAGCGACGCCGCGUGGAGGAUGAAGGUCUUCGGAUUGUAAACUCCUGUCAUUUGGGAACAAUUGUUGGCGAUUAACUGUCGUCAGCUUGAUAGUACCAGAAGAGGAAGAGACGGCUAACUCUGUGCCAGCAGCCGCGGUAAUACAGAGGUCUCAAGCGUUGUUCGGAUUCAUUGGGCGUAAAGGGUGCGUAGGUGGCGGGGUAAGUCAGGUGUGAAAUCUCGGGGCUCAACCCCGAAACUGCACUUGAUACUGCCUUGCUCGAGUACUGGAGAGGAGAUUGGAAUUUACGGUGUAGCAGUGAAAUGCGUAGAUAUCGUAAGGAAGACCAGUGGCGAAGGCGAAUCUCUGGACAGUUACUGACACUGAGGCACGAAGGCCAGGGGAGCAAACGGGAUUAGAUACCCCGGUAGUCCUGGCAGUAAACGGUGCGCGUUUGGUGUGGGAGGAUUCGACCCCUUCUGUGCCG